CGCCUGUUUAUUAAAAACAUGGCUUUCUGAUUUGAAGAUAUAGAAGGUCUCACCUGCUCGAUGACGUUUUGUUAAAUGGCCGCUUUUUGUGCUAAGGUAGCGCGGUGAGUAGCUCCUUAAUUGGGAGAUAGGAUGAAUGGUUGGACGUGGAGAGGCUGUUUCCAGCGUAGUAAACUAGAAAUUUUUUUUUAAGUGAAAAAGCUUAAAUUUUUGUAAAAGACGAUAAGACCCUGUCGAACUUAAUUAGGUUUAAAAUAUUAAAUAGUGGUAGUUGUUUUAGUUAGUUAUUCUUUGUUUUAGGGUGUAAAAUUGUUUUUAUGUAGUUAAAUUUUUAUUUAUUAAGUUUGUUUACACUUUAAGGUUAGUUUACUUAAAUCAAGUUAUUUAAAUAAUAUAUUAUUUCUGAAUCUUUGUUGGGGCAACAGAUGUUUAUUAAACAACAUUUUUUUAUUAUAAAGACCCUAUAUGAUAGACUAGAGCAAAAGUUACCGCAGGGAUAACAGCGUAAUUUUUUUUUGUAAAUUUUAUUGGAAAAAAAGUUUACGACCUCGAUGUUGAAUUAAGAAAACUUUAUGGCUUAGGCGCUAUAAUGAGUAAAACUGUUCGUUUUUUAAUUUCUUACAUGAUCUGAGUUCAGACCGG
This 642-nucleotide ribosomal RNA is filed under the name Meretrix lyrata. Its description in RNAcentral is "partial 16S ribosomal RNA". It matches the Rfam family "Archaeal large subunit ribosomal RNA", at positions 1889 to 2688 of the family's 2987-position model. Lineage: Eukaryota; Metazoa; Mollusca; Bivalvia; Venerida; Veneridae. The record is from RNAcentral.